UGGGAGCAAAGGCUUGGUUUCACAAUG
RNAcentral lists this non-coding RNA (27 nucleotides) under Rattus norvegicus (Norway rat). The record is from RNAcentral. Lineage: Eukaryota; Metazoa; Chordata; Mammalia; Rodentia; Muridae.